Molecule: ribosomal RNA, 478 nt
Filed under: uncultured bacterium
Lineage: Bacteria
Description: partial 16S ribosomal RNA
Rfam family: Bacterial small subunit ribosomal RNA
Source: RNAcentral
GAUGAACGCUGGCGGCGUGCUUAACACAUGCAAGUCGAACGGGAAAUAUUUCAUUGAGACUUCGGUGGAUUUGAUUUAUUUCUAGUGGCGGCCGGGUGAGUAACGCGUGGGUAACCUGCCUUAUACAGGGGGAUAACAGUCAGAAAUGGCUGCUAAUACCGCAUAAGCGCACAGAGCUGCAUGGCUCAGUGUGAAAAACUCCGGUGGUAUAAGAUGGACCCGCGUUGGAUUAGCUAGUUGGUGGGGUAACGGCCCACCAAGGCGACGAUCCAUAGCCGGCCUGAGAGGGUGAGCGGCCACAUUGGGACUGAGACACGGCCCAGACUCCUACGGGAGGCAGCAGUGGGGAAUAUUGCACAAUGGGGGAAACCCUGAUGCAGCGACGCCGCGUGAAGGAAGAAGUAUCUCGGUAUGUAAACUUCUAGCAGCAGGGAAGAUAGUGACGGUACCUGACGAAGAAGCCCCGGCUAACUACGUG